GCAGUAUUUGACUUGAUGUAAAUGCACAUUCCUUAAUGUGUUUUGCCUCUUAUAACUGCUUUUUUACAUCUUUACAUGCUUCAUUGUGGAGCGGAGGUCUUUCUACCGGUCAAGUAUCAUUGCCUUGUCACAGGUCAUUCACCAGUGGCUCCAGUCUGGUUUGGGGGUCUACCCUUUCUCAUCCUGGCCUGCCAGCCAAGUAAAAAGAGAAAUAACUACAGACCUCUGCAACUGCUGAUACCGGUUCAGGAUGAAUUGCAGAUGCUGUGAGAGAGUCAGUGGUUCAACCAGCCAACAAACAGGAAAAACUGUCAGCAACUCUACCCAAAAAAAUCAGGCUACUGUUAUUGCCCACUAAGAAAAACAGUGGUCUGGUAUGAAGGUUAUCUGUGUUUUGGAACAUGUUCUUAAUAUUCAUUAAAUAAUAAAAAAAAGUUUGACACUUUA
Long non-coding RNA from Alosa alosa (allis shad), 447 nucleotides. RefSeq lists it as uncharacterized. The transcript is spliced from 4 exons. The record is from RefSeq and is a predicted model, not a curated record. NCBI's taxonomy places the organism in Eukaryota, Metazoa, Chordata, Actinopteri, Clupeiformes, Clupeidae.